Molecule: long non-coding RNA, 2197 nt
Filed under: Toxoplasma gondii VEG
Lineage: Eukaryota; Apicomplexa; Conoidasida; Eucoccidiorida; Sarcocystidae
Source: RNAcentral
AAGACAAGCAACCCGACAGUGAAAUACAGGCACCGAACAGAAGACGGACUCCUGAUGGUACUUCAACUCAUCUUUUGACACAAACCCACAAAAACGCUCAGAGAUCUCUCAUAGCAUCACGUCCAAUUCAUAUAUGAUAACCUUCUAUUGUUCUUCUGUGCAUGCCUCUUCCGUGGCUGACCCUCUUCAAUGAACCUUUCCAGUGGUCUGCCACUCUCCUCCUUCCCGUGGGCCUCUACUGUUUUGAGUUGCUCCUCUAAGCCUGCUUAUUGCUGCCAUCGCGAAGUGAGAAAUAGUCGAUGAUCCACGCAGCGCAUCGUUGCUUCCAGGACAGUUAUGAACAUCUGGACCCGUGCAACAUCAAAAACCUUUUCCCGCUACGCCUACCGCAUGACAUGUGACAACCGGCUGACUGGUGGCUUGACAUGCUUGCGCUGGAGUGACAUUGUAUCCUUCUGGACAGACAACAAUUUGAUCGACUAUUUGCUCGCGAUAGCAGAGGCCCGUUGGCGGUGGCUCUGGCGGAUCUGAGAGCUUCUUUGCUUUGAUAUCUUUCAUCCUCUUCCCUUCUUUCUGUCCGGGGGAAGGUGGCACUGGCGGGACAGGAGACGCCACAGAGUGGUGAAGCGCUGCAUCGACAUCGAUUUUCCUUGAGGAAUUCAUCUUCUCAACUUCAUCUUUCAUCCGUUGCUUGGGAUCCGAAACUUUUCGCCGUUCGUUGAUCUCCAUAACAAGCAAAGCAAAGGGCAAUUUGCCAAGCUGACGAAACGCACUUCUAUCACUUCCCGCGUCUUCGGCCUUGUUUACGAAGAGGCCAUCCGCCCAAGGCCCGACGGAAACGCCUGUCCUAUCGAUCCUUCCUGGUGUCACUACAUUUUCAAGUUGCCGGGGCCGGGGAUGCCUAGCACGGUCCACUUCCUUCUCCCUUUCGUCCUUUGCUGUCUCUUCUCCCGGUUUCUUCACAUUUGGGUCCGUAGAGUUCGUGCCCUGCGCAUGUCGAGGAGCGCUUGACGCGUCCAACACGGCGGCUGAAGAGCUUCUCUCUGUCGAGGCGGAAGCCGAGCGGGAAGUAGGUUUCUUCUCCGUUCGCUCUUGCUUUGAAGAACCAUCUUUGACCUUUUCUGACUCUGAAUGAGACCCUGGCGUCUUUUUAGGUUCCCCGGGCUUCGGGAGUGCUGCUUGUAUUGGAUAGGCACAAAAACACGAGUUAAGAAAACAACAAACGACAUCCAUGGAGUAAUCGAUAACCAACAAGACUGGAAGAGAGUGAAACAAGCAUAUCAGACAAUGAGCUUUUCUGUAAUGCAAAUGCGCAGAAAUGUGAACCUCACAAUAAGCAAAACAGAGAGAAAACUAGACAACGACGGCACGCAUGUAUGUACGGCCGAGGAUAUUACUGCGGCUUAUCUUGUUGCAUAUUAGGGACAGGCGCAACUCUUGAGAUGGACACAGGGGAAGAGAGACGUUUCUGCAGCUCUCCAGCUCUGUUCUCAUGUAACCAAACUUGAAAAGAACUGAACCACCAAACUUUGAAUCUUACACUUCUUUAUCUUUGGCUCAGGUGCCUGUUCAACGACCACGUCGAGUGGGCAAAACCAUUUGGCGUGUCUUUUGGUCUGCACAUGAGGGGGAUACAGCGCAAGGGUAACUUUUGUAGCAGCAUCGCUUCACAAAUUACUGGUUUGUGAUGUUUCACUCCGGCACUCAACUUUUUGUCGUCUGUGUCUUCGAUCGGACAUACUGAACUGCGCAGGUAGGAGUUGGGGAUGCUAAAUGUUUGUUGAAGUGCUUAUGGGUUCUUUCUUUGGCUAUCGGAUGACAGGGAUAUAGAAGAUCAAUAUGGAGUUCGUGUAUCAAAGUCGAAUUUUCAGGAUCUUCGACGAAAAAUGUGCCCCCUCCACGAAUGCUGCUGGGCUAUUUGUCUGCUACUUGUCUCUCAUCCGCCCAACCGAUGGACGCCGUUGUCACCUACUUUCUUGACUUCAAACCAUAUUUUACGUACCUCGACGAGGCAUCUCGAGUCUACGACUUUCCCCGCACAAAGCGCCUCAGAAGGGAGGACCCGUACUCCCAUGCAGACCAGCACUGGUGAUUUGAUAGAAUCGUCCUUGAAUAUUUCCAGAGUAAAGUCAAAUGGACACCCCCGGUUUGGCUCCACCGUUAGUGUCUGAACAGUAGAACAGAAUGUACUGGGCAG